This 72-nucleotide transfer RNA is filed under the name Bos taurus (domestic cattle). It matches the Rfam family "tRNA". Rfam says of the family: Transfer RNA (tRNA) molecules are approximately 80 nucleotides in length. Their secondary structure includes four short double-helical elements and three loops (D, anti-codon, and T loops). The record is from Rfam by way of RNAcentral. Lineage: Eukaryota; Metazoa; Chordata; Mammalia; Artiodactyla; Bovidae. RNAcentral also lists the same sequence under 3 other names.
UCCCUGGUGGCUCAGGUGGUAAAGAAUCUGCCUUCAAUGCAGGAGACCUGGGUUCAAUCCCUGGCUCUGGAA